UUUCCUCCAUAACCUCCUUGGAGACCUCAGCAGCAUUAAGCCAGCAGAAGUGAGGGUUUGAGAAUGGCCAAAAAUGUUGUUUUCACUUGGUGUCUGACCUGAAAUCCUCUGUCAGGGAAAUGCUCUGUUUCCUUCCUGUAGCAACCAUGAGAUGAAAUCCACAGCAGCAGCAUGACAGAAGAUAUAUUAAACCAGUCAGUGAAGCCAUGAAGAGAGAAACUCUGUCUUUCAGCAGUAACAGCAGAAAUUCAAAUCUGAAAAGAUAGCCACUACAUGGUAAUUGUGAAAAUCCCAGACACUGAAAACCUGUGACCUCCUGGGGAAGACUCAAACAAGAAACUUUUUAGGACUGUCUUCAAAUUUGCUCAUUCCAUCAAAAAAAAGGCUCCUGAGAGUGGGACAACAAUAAUCAGCCCCUGUGACUUCUUCAGUGGCUGCUUUAGCAAUUAAAGUCUGCCAUAAAAACAGGGGAUGGACAGCAUGUGCCCUUUAUUAAACCAAGGACCUGAAGAGUGAAGUACUCAGUGUAACACUUCUUUUUU
Passer domesticus (house sparrow) is the source of this 542-nucleotide long non-coding RNA. RefSeq lists it as uncharacterized. The transcript has 4 exons. Lineage: Eukaryota; Metazoa; Chordata; Aves; Passeriformes; Passeridae. The record is from RefSeq and is a predicted model, not a curated record.